This 453-nucleotide ribosomal RNA is filed under the name uncultured Ruegeria sp. RNAcentral's name for it is "bacterial SSU rRNA". It matches the Rfam family "Bacterial small subunit ribosomal RNA", at positions 11 to 507 of the family's 1533-position model. Lineage: Bacteria; Pseudomonadati; Pseudomonadota; Alphaproteobacteria; Rhodobacterales; Roseobacteraceae. The record is from RNAcentral.
GUUUGAUCCUGGCUCAGAACGAACGCUGGCGGCAGGCCUAACACAUGCAAGUCGAGCGCGCCCUUCGGGGUGAGCGGCGGACGGGUUAGUAACGCGUGGGAACGUGCCCAGAUCUAAGGAAUAGCCACUGGAAACGGUGAGUAAUACCUUAUACGCCCUUCGGGGGAAAGAUUUAUCGGAUUUGGAUCGGCCCGCGUUAGAUUAGGUAGUUGGUGGGGUAAUGGCCUACCAAGCCUACGAUCUAUAGCUGGUUUUAGAGGAUGAUCAGCAACACUGGGACUGAGACACGGCCCAGACUCCUACGGGAGGCAGCAGCGGGGGGAAUCUUGGACAAUGGGGGGCAACCCUGAUCCAGCCAUGCCGCGUGAGUGAUGAAGGCCUUAGGGUCGUAAAGCUCUUUCGCCUGUGAUGAUAAUGACAGUAGCAGGUAAAGAAACCCCGGCUAACUCCGUG